GAUUAUACUAUUGCGUCCUCUUAACGGAUUAUGAAUUUUUUAUAUUGUUUAUCGAUCUACAUAAAAAAUAAACAAUCAUUAAAUUUAAAUUAAACAUCAUAUUCUAUUUUAAAUAAAUGUAUAGGUAUUUCUGUACAUUAAAAUGUUUAAUUUUUAUAAAUCAAAAUUCGAAGUUAAACUCCGUGUUGUAUACAUAAAUGAUAUGUUUGAGAGUUAUCAUGAGCGAACAGAGUAAUGCAUUAAAUUUUAUCAAAAAAGGCAAGUCACGUGUUUAGGUGUACCUAAUACUAAAAAAUCUGUAGAAUUGGUCACGUAAGCGAUGUACCAUCACCGAGGGAAAAUAUUUUAUUUUACGAACGCGUCCAUGAGUACUUACGAUAUCAACGAAAGGACCAAAAGUUUUCAGGUUUGUGUUGUAAAAGUUGUUACGAACUCAAUAUUGGGUCUCCUUAUUGCACUGAACAUCAAACAGAAUAUAGCCACAAUUGUAUCAACGUCAAAAAUUACGGAUUUGGUGGCUCACUAG
Aphis gossypii (cotton aphid) is the source of this 526-nucleotide long non-coding RNA. RefSeq lists it as uncharacterized. NCBI's taxonomy places the organism in Eukaryota, Metazoa, Arthropoda, Insecta, Hemiptera, Aphididae. The transcript is spliced from 3 exons. The record is from RefSeq and is a predicted model, not a curated record.